Molecule: small RNA, 128 nt
Filed under: Streptococcus pyogenes
Lineage: Bacteria; Bacillati; Bacillota; Bacilli; Lactobacillales; Streptococcaceae
Source: RNAcentral
CGUUGUUGCUACCUAUAAACCAUGCAGUGCUGGUUCCCAAUCCAGCGAAGAUUUGUUUUGUCUGUCCGAUGGGCAGAGAGCUAAUCAAAAUUGGUGGGUGCUAGAGUAUCGGACACUCUAGCAUUUUC